Long non-coding RNA from Myxocyprinus asiaticus (Chinese sucker), 1173 nucleotides. RefSeq lists it as uncharacterized. The record is from RefSeq and is a predicted model, not a curated record. Lineage: Eukaryota; Metazoa; Chordata; Actinopteri; Cypriniformes; Catostomidae. The transcript is spliced from 3 exons.
GUUUAUUGGUCAUUGCUCCUGGAAGGGCCACCGUUGAUGAACUUCAUAUCAUCAUGAUCCAGGCAGAUUACCACAUGAUGCACAGAUGCAGAACUUGAUUGACUUUGAAGUGCGCAAUUUGGGGCGGCCAUUUUCGACGACCAGACCUCUUCUGUUGAUCCACGGUGAAGGCAUUUCUUGAAUGAAAAUUAAAGAAAAUCUUGGGACAUCUGACUUCAAUAGAGUCAAGGUAAAUAAGGUAAGAACUUUUACAGUGAUUUUUCAAGAUGAUGUAGCAGACCUGUGCGUGCAUAUAUUGAACAGAGCAUGAAUCAUGACUCUUGAGUGAUCUAGCCAGGCCGGCGUUUCCCCAAAGCAUGGUAAACCUAAAUUAGUUAGUUUUGCACUCUGGUUCCUUAUGAUUUUGUUCAUCUUCAAAACUUCUAAUGAAGAUAUUUGAAGAAAGUUGUCAGCCGUUUGUGUCCAUACAAUGAGGGUGAAUGGUGACCAGCACUUUGAUGCAAGAACAUAAAGGCAGCAUCAGCGUAAUCCGAAAAUAGACCAAGAUGGCCUUGCAGAGCACACACUGAAGAUUGUCACCAGAGGGGGAUAUCCAGAUGGCAGACCUUUAGAGGCAGGAAUAGUCUUAGAAAGUGUUCAAGUUCUGGCAGGAUUGUCCAGUGUUGGCCUGAUGUAUUCUGUAAACCUAAAUUACCCCAAGCCACUGAGGUAUACAUUUGAAUUUUUUCAGAAAAUGCUGCUUGAGCUAGACAGUGCAAAACUAUCUCCAAAGAUUCUAACUUUAAAGAACAAGAUGUUGAGUUAAAUUUAUGAAGCCAUGUUGUCUUGUUGACGAUGCAAAUGCAUUUUUAAUGCCAUAGAGCAUUGCACAACUUACACAUGCAAAAGUCAACACAAGCAUACAACACCACAAAGAUUAUAUAAACAACAUACUCAAAUCUACACCGCACUCAAACACACACACAAGCAUACAACGCCACAAAGAUUUUAUAAACAACAUAUUCAACUCGACACCGCACUCAAACACACACACAAGCAUACAACACCAUAAAGAUUAAAAAGCACGUUGAUGCUUACUGUUGUUAUUUGUGACAGAAUGUUUACUGUUGUUCAUUAAUAUUUAUUUUCAGUCAUUAUUUUUGUCAAAUGCCUGUUUAACGGCAGAACACAGUA